UCGAGCGGGGAAGGUAGCUUGCUACCUGACCUAGCGGCGGACGGGUNCCUUUUGCUUAGGAAUCUGCCUAUUAGUGGGGGACAACAUCUCNAAAGGGAUGCUAAUACCGCAUACGUCCUACGGGAGAAAGCAGGGGACCUUCGGGCCUUGCGCUAAUAGAUGAGCCUAAGUCGGAUUAGCUAGUUGGUGGGGUAAAGGCCUACCAAGGCGACGAUCUGUAGCGGGUCUGAGAGGAUGAUCCGCCACACUGGGACUGAGACACGGCCCAGACUCCUACGGGAGGCAGCAGUGGGGAAUAUUGGACAAUGGGGGGAACCCUGAUCCAGCCAUGCCGCGUGUGUGAAGAAGGCCUUUUGGUUGUAAAGCACUUUAAGCGAGGAGGAGGCUACCGAGAUUAAUACUCUUGGAUAGUGGACGUUACUCGCANAAUAAGCACCGGCUAACUCUGUGCCAGCAGCCGCGGUAAUACAGAGGGUGCAAGCGUUAAUCGGAUUUACUGGGCGUAAAGCGCGCGUAGGUGGCCAAUUAAGUCAAAUGUGAAAUCCCCGAGCUUAACUUGGGAAUUGCAUUCNAUACUGGUUGGCUAGAGUAUGGGAGAGGAUGGUAGAAUUCCAGGUGUAGCGGUGAAAUGCGUANAGAUCUGGAGGAAUACCGAUGGCGAAGGCAGCCNUCUGGCCUAAUACUGACACUGAGGUGCGAAAGCAUGGGGAGCAAACAGGAUUANAUACCCUGGGUAGUCCAUGCCGUAAACGAUNUCUACUAGCCGUUGGGGGCCUUUGAGGCUUUAGU
This 789-nucleotide ribosomal RNA is filed under the name uncultured Acinetobacter sp. RNAcentral describes it as "bacterial SSU rRNA". It matches the Rfam family "Bacterial small subunit ribosomal RNA", at positions 62 to 844 of the family's 1533-position model. Lineage: Bacteria; Pseudomonadati; Pseudomonadota; Gammaproteobacteria; Moraxellales; Moraxellaceae. The record is from RNAcentral.